AACGAACGCUGGCGGCAUGCCUAACACAUGCAAGUCGAACGAGACCUUCGGUUCUAGUGGCGCACGGGUGAGUAACGCGUGGGAACCUGCCCUUAGGUUCGGAAUAACUCCCCGAAAGGGGUGCUAAUACCGGAUAAUGUCUUCGGACCAAAGAUUUAUCGCCUUUGGAUGGGCCCGCGUUGGAUUAGCUAGUUGGUAGGGUAAAAGCCUACCAAGGCGACGAUCCAUAGCUGGUCUGAGAGGAUGAUCAGCCACACUGGGACUGAGACACGGCCCAGACUCCUACGGGAGGCAGCAGUGGGGAAUAUUGGACGAUGGGCGAAAGCCUGAUCCAGCAAUGCCGCGUGAGUGAGGAAGGCCUUAGGGUUGUAAAGCUCUUUUACCCGGGAUGAUAAUGACAGUACCGGGAGAAUAAGCUCCGGCUAACUCCGUG
This 433-nucleotide ribosomal RNA is filed under the name uncultured bacterium. RNAcentral's name for it is "partial 16S ribosomal RNA". It matches the Rfam family "Bacterial small subunit ribosomal RNA", at positions 29 to 507 of the family's 1533-position model. The record is from RNAcentral.